This 2921-nucleotide ribosomal RNA is filed under the name Bacillus bombysepticus. Its description in RNAcentral is "23S ribosomal RNA". It matches the Rfam family "Bacterial large subunit ribosomal RNA". The record is from RNAcentral. Lineage: Bacteria; Bacillati; Bacillota; Bacilli; Caryophanales; Bacillaceae.
GGUUAAGUUAGAAAGGGCGCACGGUGGAUGCCUUGACACUAGGAGUCGAUGAAGGACGGGACUAACGCCGAUAUGCUUCGGGGAGCUGUAAGUAAGCUUUGAUCCGAAGAUUUCCGAAUGGGGAAACCCACCAUACGUAAUGGUAUGGUAUCCUUAUCUGAAUACAUAGGGUAAGGAAGACAGACCCAGGGAACUGAAACAUCUAAGUACCUGGAGGAAGAGAAAGCAAAUGCGAUUUCCUGAGUAGCGGCGAGCGAAACGGAACAUAGCCCAAACCAAGAGGCUUGCCUCUUGGGGUUGUAGGACAUUCUAUACGGAGUUACAAAGGAACGAGGUAGACGAAGCGACCUGGAAAGGUCCGUCGUAGAGGGUAACAACCCCGUAGUCGAAACUUCGUUCUCUCUUGAAUGUAUCCUGAGUACGGCGGAACACGUGAAAUUCCGUCGGAAUCUGGGAGGACCAUCUCCCAAGGCUAAAUACUCCCUAGUGAUCGAUAGUGAACCAGUACCGUGAGGGAAAGGUGAAAAGCACCCCGGAAGGGGAGUGAAAGAGAUCCUGAAACCGUGUGCCUACAAAUAGUCAGAGCCCGUUAACGGGUGAUGGCGUGCCUUUUGUAGAAUGAACCGGCGAGUUACGAUCCCGUGCGAGGUUAAGCUGAAGAGGCGGAGCCGCAGCGAAAGCGAGUCUGAAUAGGGCGUUUAGUACGUGGUCGUAGACCCGAAACCAGGUGAUCUACCCAUGUCCAGGGUGAAGUUCAGGUAACACUGAAUGGAGGCCCGAACCCACGCACGUUGAAAAGUGCGGGGAUGAGGUGUGGGUAGCGGAGAAAUUCCAAUCGAACCUGGAGAUAGCUGGUUCUCCCCGAAAUAGCUUUAGGGCUAGCCUUAAGUGUAAGAGUCUUGGAGGUAGAGCACUGAUUGGACUAGGGGUCCUCAUCGGAUUACCGAAUUCAGUCAAACUCCGAAUGCCAAUGACUUAUCCUUAGGAGUCAGACUGCGAGUGAUAAGAUCCGUAGUCAAAAGGGAAACAGCCCAGACCGCCAGCUAAGGUCCCAAAGUGUGUAUUAAGUGGAAAAGGAUGUGGAGUUGCUUAGACAACUAGGAUGUUGGCUUAGAAGCAGCCACCAUUUAAAGAGUGCGUAAUAGCUCACUAGUCGAGUGACUCUGCGCCGAAAAUGUACCGGGGCUAAAUACACCACCGAAGCUGCGGAUUGAUACCAAUGGUAUCAGUGGUAGGGGAGCGUUCUAAGGACAGUGAAGUCAGACCGUAAGGACUGGUGGAGUGCUUAGAAGUGAGAAUGCCGGUAUGAGUAGCGAAAGACGGGUGAGAAUCCCGUCCACCGAAUGCCUAAGGUUUCCUGAGGAAGGCUCGUCCGCUCAGGGUUAGUCAGGACCUAAGCCGAGGCCGACAGGCGUAGGCGAUGGACAACAGGUUGAUAUUCCUGUACCACCUCUUUAUCGUUUGAGCAAUGGAGGGACGCAGAAGGAUAGAAGAAGCGUGCGAUUGGUUGUGCACGUCCAAGCAGUUAGGCUGAUAAGUAGGCAAAUCCGCUUAUCAUAAAGGCUGAGCUGUGAUGGGGAAGCUCCUUAUGGAGCGAAGUCUUUGAUUCCCCGCUGCCAAGAAAAGCUUCUAGCGAGAUAAAAGGUGCCUGUACCGCAAACCGACACAGGUAGGCGAGGAGAGAAUCCUAAGGUGUGCGAGAGAACUCUGGUUAAGGAACUCGGCAAAAUGACCCCGUAACUUCGGGAGAAGGGGUGCUUUCUUAACGGAAAGCCGCAGUGAAUAGGCCCAAGCGACUGUUUAGCAAAACACAGCUCUCUGCGAAGCCGUAAGGCGAAGUAUAGGGGGUGACACCUGCCCGGUGCUGGAAGGUUAAGGAGAGGGGUUAGCGUAAGCGAAGCUCUGAACUGAAGCCCCAGUAAACGGCGGCCGUAACUAUAACGGUCCUAAGGUAGCGAAAUUCCUUGUCGGGUAAGUUCCGACCCGCACGAAAGGUGUAACGAUUUGGGCACUGUCUCAACCAGAGACUCGGUGAAAUUAUAGUACCUGUGAAGAUGCAGGUUACCCGCGACAGGACGGAAAGACCCCGUGGAGCUUUACUGUAGCCUGAUAUUGAAUUUUGGUACAGUUUGUACAGGAUAGGCGGGAGCCAUUGAAACCGGAGCGCUAGCUUCGGUGGAGGCGCUGGUGGGAUACCGCCCUGACUGUAUUGAAAUUCUAACCUACGGGUCUUAUCGACCCGGGAGACAGUGUCAGGUGGGCAGUUUGACUGGGGCGGUCGCCUCCUAAAGUGUAACGGAGGCGCCCAAAGGUUCCCUCAGAAUGGUUGGAAAUCAUUCGUAGAGUGCAAAGGCAUAAGGGAGCUUGACUGCGAGACCUACAAGUCGAGCAGGGACGAAAGUCGGGCUUAGUGAUCCGGUGGUUCCGCAUGGAAGGGCCAUCGCUCAACGGAUAAAAGCUACCCCGGGGAUAACAGGCUUAUCUCCCCCAAGAGUCCACAUCGACGGGGAGGUUUGGCACCUCGAUGUCGGCUCAUCGCAUCCUGGGGCUGUAGUCGGUCCCAAGGGUUGGGCUGUUCGCCCAUUAAAGCGGUACGCGAGCUGGGUUCAGAACGUCGUGAGACAGUUCGGUCCCUAUCCGUCGUGGGCGUAGGAAAUUUGAGAGGAGCUGUCCUUAGUACGAGAGGACCGGGAUGGACGCACCGCUGGUGUACCAGUUGUUCUGCCAAGGGCAUAGCUGGGUAGCUAUGUGCGGAAGGGAUAAGUGCUGAAAGCAUCUAAGCAUGAAGCCCCCCUCAAGAUGAGAUUUCCCAUAGCGUAAGCUAGUAAGAUCCCUGAAAGAUGAUCAGGUUGAUAGGUUCGAGGUGGAAGCAUGGUGACAUGUGGAGCUGACGAAUACUAAUAGAUCGAGGACUUAACCAU